UACGUAGGGGGCAAGCGUUGUCCGGAUUUAUUGGGCGUAAAGCGCGUGUAGGCGGCCAGAUAGGUCUGCUGUGAAAACUCGAGGCUCAACCUCGAGCUGUCGGCGGAAACCAUCUGGCUAGAGUCCGGAAGAGGAGAGUGGAAUUCCUGGUGUAGCGGUGAAAUGCGCAGAUAUCAGGAAGAACACCUAUGGCGAAGGCAGCUCUCUGGGACGGUACUGACACUGAGAGACGAAAGCUAGGGGAGCAAAUGGG
This 253-nucleotide ribosomal RNA is filed under the name uncultured bacterium. Its description in RNAcentral is "partial 16S ribosomal RNA". It matches the Rfam family "Bacterial small subunit ribosomal RNA", at positions 524 to 776 of the family's 1533-position model. The record is from RNAcentral.